AACGCCUUCAUUCUAUUUGGUAGUAGGAUCAGAGUGGGAAAAAAGCCUAUGAUUUUCUCUGUCAAUCAGCAGCAAGAGAGGAGAAAAAGAAAAGAAAAAACCUUUCCUUUCAUCACAAAGCAACAUUAUUGACUAAGAUUAGAUCUUUAUCACCAUAAAAACAAUGUCAAGACAGAAGCAAGGAGGUGAAGAAACCAUGAUGUCAAGCCUGAAUGAAACAAUUGAAAGAGAAGAGAGAGAAGAGUUGGAAAAAGAAGGUGGUGGUUCAGGUUCACAUUCCUCUUUGAAAAGACUUCUCUGGCAUGGUGGUUCUGCUUAUGAUGCUUGGUUCAACUGUGCCUCAAAUCAGUUGGACUGCUUAUUUGAUAAGCAUUCUCUACAUUGAGUACAAAACCCGCAAGGAGAAAGAGAAUGUCAGUUUCAAAAACCAUGUCAUUCAGCUUGUAAACUUUCUCGCACCCCUAAU
Non-coding RNA from Arachis ipaensis, 466 nucleotides. NCBI's taxonomy places the organism in Eukaryota, Viridiplantae, Streptophyta, Magnoliopsida, Fabales, Fabaceae. The record is from RefSeq and is a predicted model, not a curated record.